This 74-nucleotide transfer RNA is filed under the name Capnocytophaga gingivalis. Its description in RNAcentral is "tRNA-Trp". It matches the Rfam family "tRNA". From Rfam's summary of the family: Transfer RNA (tRNA) molecules are approximately 80 nucleotides in length. Their secondary structure includes four short double-helical elements and three loops (D, anti-codon, and T loops). Lineage: Bacteria; Pseudomonadati; Bacteroidota; Flavobacteriia; Flavobacteriales; Flavobacteriaceae. RNAcentral also lists the same sequence under 2 other names. The record is from RNAcentral.
ACGGGUGUAGUUCAAGGGUAGAAUAGUGGUCUCCAAAACCAUUGAUGGGGGUUCGAAUCCCUCCACCCGUGCCA